Molecule: transfer RNA, 71 nt
Filed under: Marseillevirus LCMAC202
Lineage: Varidnaviria; Bamfordvirae; Nucleocytoviricota; Megaviricetes; Pimascovirales; Marseilleviridae
Description: tRNA-Gly
Rfam family: tRNA
About the family: Transfer RNA (tRNA) molecules are approximately 80 nucleotides in length.
Source: RNAcentral
GCGACCAUAGUUUAAUGGUAAAAUACCUGCUUGCCAAGUAGGAGAUUUGGGUUCAAUUCCCAAUGGUCGCA